GUCAGUAGGGGUUGUGACGACUGCAGCAAGAGCCUGAAACUCCCCACGGAAUCUGGCAGGAAAGGAGGGGAGGCAAGGAAGACCUUGCGGAGCCCCGGCUCAGGGCCGCCGGCAGCGCUCCCUCGCCUCGCCCACACCGACAAACUCUCGCCCGGGCGGCAUGACGGCGUUCGGGCAGGAGCCUUUUCCGCUUCGUUAAUCCCGCCACGCGAUUGCCACAUUCGGUCCCUGCCCCGAGCGGCUCACGGUGUGACCAACACUCAACUACCACCGACAGAAGAGAGAAAGCAGGAAAGAAAGGAGAAAAAAAAAAGCCCCAAACCCGAGCGAGUUCCCCUGGCCGAGCUUGGCAGCUCUGACACGUCAUCGCCACAGCCGCGCAGCAAAGUGAAACCGCACCGGCACCGGCACGGGGUGACACGGGUUGUGUGGGCGGGCAGGGCUCCAUGCCCGGCCCCAUACCUGCACGCAUACCCGCACCUAUACCUACACCUGGACCUACACCCGCACCUAUACCUGCACCCGUACCCGCACCUAUACCCGCAGCUGUACCCGCACCUAUACCCGUACCCGUACCCAUACCUAUACCCGCACCCAUACCCGCACCUAUACCAGUGCCCAUACCCGCACCCGUACCCAGACCCAUACCUGCACCUAUACCCACACCUAUACCCGCACCCAUACCCGCACCUUUACCCAUACCUGGACCUAUUACCCGCACCCCUACCCCCACCCGCACCCCUACCCCUACCCGCACCCUACCCGCAGCCGGCGGCCGGCAGCAGCGCUCGCGGCGAGCGCAGCCAACAUUCAGAUUUGACACCCAGCCCUCGGCCAAUCCGCGAGGGCUUUUCACCUGCCAGCGCCUCCUCCGCCAAUGGCGCGGCGCCUUGGGGCCGAGAGCCCUCCCCCGGCCAAUGGGGAGCCGGCCCCGGCCCCCGGUUAAUGAUGCAGCAGUACAGGGAAGACUAUCACAUGGGAGCUGGCCGGCUGCCAGCACGGAGACACGGCGAGAGCAAGCUGGCGUGGAAGCGUCUGGAAGGCAGCGCGUACCUGUCCCCCCGGUGCUUUGAAAAGCCGCCCGGCGUGCCCUGCAAUGAUCACUGCGUCACCGCUCCCCACUUGGCGAACUACGCAGUGACAAAGCUCCGAGCUCUGAAACGCAGGGCGGCUGUUAACCCCUCCGCCAAAUCCUCGCCGACAUGCCAGCCCUUGGGGAGACGGGAGGGAAUAAAAAGCCCGAACGGCACACGAAAGCAGCAGUCUUUGCAAAGUUGUCAUCUCUCCCCCACGACUACUUCCCUCCUCUGCAUUACAGCAAUGCCGGCAAGAGUGGCGUUAGUACAACCUGUGCCGUCGUUCCAUUGA
Molecule: long non-coding RNA, 1368 nt
Filed under: Anser brachyrhynchus (Pink-footed goose)
Lineage: Eukaryota; Metazoa; Chordata; Aves; Anseriformes; Anatidae
Description: lncRNA (ENSABRG00000009182.1)
Source: RNAcentral